GAAGUAUCAGCAAUUGACUUAAACAGCUCACUGACUUCCUGCUGGGAGGAGCAGAAGACUGACGAUGAACUUAACGUCACUUUGAAUUCCCCACGCUGGUAGCAGAACUAUUGCUGGGUCAAAAAGAAGUGUAGUUUUAAAGAGAAAAACUUCUUGGGCUUUAAAGAAGUCUGAAACAGACUCUGAAAGCUUUGUUAGGACCCUAUGGAGAGAUCCACAUGUCAAACAACUGAUAUCUACAGCCAAAAGGCAUUGAAGAUCGGAAGCCAGCUAGCAGCCAUGUGAAUGAGAUUGGAAACAGAACGUCCUCCAGUUGAACCUUGACAUGCCUGUCGCCCUGUCCAACAUCUUGGGAAACUCUCAGGCAGAGCAUCUCACUGAGGGACACUCAGAUUCUUGAUCUAGAAAGACUGCAAUAUAAUAAAUGUUUGUUGUUUUAAGAGGCUAAA
Long non-coding RNA from Neofelis nebulosa (Clouded leopard), 449 nucleotides. RefSeq lists it as uncharacterized. Lineage: Eukaryota; Metazoa; Chordata; Mammalia; Carnivora; Felidae. The transcript has 3 exons. The record is from RefSeq and is a predicted model, not a curated record.